Molecule: ribosomal RNA, 254 nt
Filed under: uncultured bacterium
Lineage: Bacteria
Description: partial 16S ribosomal RNA
Rfam family: Bacterial small subunit ribosomal RNA
Source: RNAcentral
UACAGGGGGGGCAAGCGUUGUUCGGAAUUACUGGGCGUAAAGGGCUUGUAGGUGGCCAACUAAGUCACACGUGAAAUCCCCAGGCUUAACCUGGGAACUGCGCUGUGAUACUGGAUGGCUUGAAUCCGGGAGAGGGAUGCGGAAUUCCAGGUGUAGCGGUGAAAUGCGUAGAUAUCUGGAGGAACACCGGUGGCGAAGGCGGCAUCCUGGACCGGUAUUGACACUGAAAAGCGAAAGCCAGGGGAGCAAACGGG